CUUUCUACGGGGGGCAGCAGUGGGGGAUAUUGCACAAUGGGGGGAACCCUGAUGCAGCGACGCCGCGUGGGUGAAGAAGCGCUUCGGCGCGUAAAGCCCUGUCAGCAGGGAAGAAAAUGACGGUACCUGAAGAAGAAGCCCCGGCUAACUACGUGCCAGCAGCCGCGGAAAUACGUAGGGGGCAAGCGGUAUCCGGAUUUACUGGGUGUAAAGGGGGCGCAGACGGCGGGGCAAGCCAG
RNAcentral lists this ribosomal RNA (239 nucleotides) under uncultured bacterium. Its description in RNAcentral is "partial 16S ribosomal RNA". It matches the Rfam family "Bacterial small subunit ribosomal RNA", at positions 335 to 591 of the family's 1533-position model. The record is from RNAcentral.